CAGCACUGUCUUUGAACCCGACUGAUCCUCCCCAUGGUCUCUUGGGCCAAGCUACAGUGCAAGAAGAAAAAGCAGGCUUGUUCAUAACUGGGGCCUCCUGGCAUCUUCAUCCCAGCUGGCUCUUUUAAAAGCAAGUCACAUCG
Molecule: small nucleolar RNA, 143 nt
Organism: Synchiropus splendidus (mandarinfish)
Lineage: Eukaryota; Metazoa; Chordata; Actinopteri; Syngnathiformes; Callionymidae
Source: RefSeq, a predicted model, not a curated record